RNAcentral lists this ribosomal RNA (559 nucleotides) under Claudioperla sp. BYU_PL158. Its description in RNAcentral is "partial 16S ribosomal RNA". It matches the Rfam family "Bacterial large subunit ribosomal RNA", at positions 1796 to 2622 of the family's 2925-position model. Lineage: Eukaryota; Metazoa; Arthropoda; Insecta; Plecoptera; Gripopterygidae. The record is from RNAcentral.
UCGCCUGUUUAUCAAAAACAUGUCUUCUUGAUUUAUAAUUUGAAGUCUGACCUGCCCACUGAGAUUAACUUAAAGGGCCGCGGUAUUUUGACCGUGCAAAGGUAGCAUAAUCAUUAGUCUUUUAAUUGGAGGCUAGAAUGAAUGGUUGGACGAGGUAUUGACUGUCUCUGUAUAAAUGAGUUUAGAAUUUAACUUUUAAGUGAAAAGGCUUAAAUAUUUUUAGAGGACGAGAAGACCCCAUAGAGCUUUAUAAUAAGUUUUUUAUAAUUUGUUUAGUGGUUUUUUAUUAUAUUAAAUUAAUUAUUUUGUUGGGGUGACAGGAAGAUAUAAUAAACUCUUUUUAUUAAUGAAACAUUGAUUUAUGAAUUAUUGAUCCAUUUUUAAUGAUUAAAAGUCUAAGUUACCUUGGGGAUAACAGCGUAAUCUUUUUCGAGAGUUCUUAUCGACAAAAAGGGUUGCGACCUCGAUGUUGGAUUAAGGGUAAUUUUGGGUGUAGAUGUUCAAAGUUUAGGUCUGUUCGACCUUUAAAUCCUUACAUGAUCUGAGUUCAAACCGGAGA